Molecule: ribosomal RNA, 1019 nt
Filed under: Sammeyersia grandispora
Lineage: Eukaryota; Fungi; Ascomycota; Sordariomycetes; Lulworthiales; Lulworthiaceae
Description: eukaryotic LSU rRNA
Rfam family: Eukaryotic large subunit ribosomal RNA
Source: RNAcentral
AACAGGGAUUGCCCCAGUAACGGCGAGUGAAGCGGCAGCAGCCCAGAUUUGAAAUCCGGCUUCGGCCCGAGUUGUAAUCUGCAGAGGAUGCUUCGGGGCGGGCGUCCCUCCGAGUCCCCUGGAACGGGGCGCCAGAGAGGGUGACAGCCCCGUACGGCCGGACGUGCCGCCCCGCGCGAAGCUCCCUCGAAGAGUCGAGUAGUUUGGGAAUGCUGCUCAAAGCGGGAGGUAAAUUCCUUCCAAGGCUAAAUACCGGCCGGAGACCGAUAGCGCACAAGUAGAGUGAUCGAAAGAUGAAAAGCACUUUGGAAAGAGGGUUAAACAGUACGUGAAAUUGCUGAGAGGGAAGCGCCUGCGGCCAGACUCGCGCCCUGCGGAUCAUCGGGUGCCUCGCGGCGCCCGUGCACUCCGCCGGGACGCGGGCCAGCAUCGGCUCGCGGCGGGGGACAAAAGCGGGGGGAACGUGGCCUCCCCCGGGAGGUGUUAUAGCCCCCCGCCCAAUGCCCCGCGGCGGGCCGAGGACCGCGCCGCUCCGGCGGCAAGGAUGCUGGCGUAAUGGCCGUCGGCGGCCCGUCUUGAAACACGGACCAAGGAGUCGAACGUCCGCGCGAGUGUUUGGGUGACCAAAGCCCUCACGCGCAGUGAAAGCGAACGCAGGUGGGAGCCUCGGCGCACCACCGACCGAUCCUGAAGUUCACGGAUGGAUUUGAGUAGGAGCGUGGCCGUUCGGACCCGAAAGAUGGUGAACUAAGCCUGCGUAGGGCGAAGCCAGAGGAAACUCUGGUGGAGGCCCGCAGCGGUUCUGACGUGCAAAUCGAUCGUCAAACGUGGGCUUGGGGGCGAAAGACCAAUCGAACCGUCUAGUAGCUGGUUUCCGCCGAAGUUUCCCUCAGGAUAGCAGUGCUGGUCUCAGUUUUAUGAGGUAAAGCGAAUGAUUAGGGGCUCGGGGGCGCUGAUUAGCCUUCACCCAUUCUCAAACUUUGAAUAUGUAAGAAGCCCUUGUCGCCUAGGCGGACGCG